Molecule: ribosomal RNA, 412 nt
Filed under: uncultured marine eukaryote
Lineage: Eukaryota
Description: SSU rRNA
Rfam family: Eukaryotic small subunit ribosomal RNA
Source: RNAcentral
AACCUGGUUGAUCCUGCCAGUAGUCAUAUGCUUGUCUCAAAGACUAAGCCAUGCAUGUCUAAGUAUAAAUGGUAUACAGUAAAACUGCGAAUGGCUCAUUAAAACAGUUAUAGUUUAUGUGGUAAUCGAAUUUACAUGGAUAACCGUGGUAAUUCUAGAGCUAAUACAUGCUGUAAAGCCCGACUUCUCGGAAGGGCCGUGUUUAUUAGAUAACAGACCAACAGCUUCGGCUAUUGUGGUGAAUCAUAGUAACUAAUCGGAUCGCAUGGGCUAGUCCCGCGACAAACCAUUCAAGUUUCUGCCCCAUCAGCUUUCGACGGUAGUGUAUUGGACUACCCGUGGCUUUUACGGGUAACGGAGGAUUAGGGUUCGAUUCCGGAGAGGGAGCCUGAGAAACGGCUACCACAUCUAA